This 263-nucleotide long non-coding RNA is filed under the name Lathyrus oleraceus (garden pea). Its description in RNAcentral is "Pisum sativum (pea) long non-coding RNA (PSAT_LNC031038)". Lineage: Eukaryota; Viridiplantae; Streptophyta; Magnoliopsida; Fabales; Fabaceae. The record is from RNAcentral.
AAAUUUCCUUCUCCCUGCAAAAUCGACCAUGAGCAGACUCCAUAACUCACUAUCUACUCACAUGAGAUCUCAAACUUCUUCCUUUCUCACUUCCAAUUUCGACCUCCUCCACCUCUUCACCAUGAUUCCGGUCUCCCUUCUCACGAAAUCGGCCAAGAACCACACGAACCUGGCCGUUUCUCCUCACAUGGAACACAAGUUCCUUCUAAUCUAGCCAUUUGAACCAGGACACGAUGCAAAAUGGAGGAUGAAGGCUAACGGAA